This 793-nucleotide ribosomal RNA is filed under the name uncultured bacterium. RNAcentral's name for it is "bacterial SSU rRNA". It matches the Rfam family "Bacterial small subunit ribosomal RNA", at positions 8 to 796 of the family's 1533-position model. The record is from RNAcentral.
AGAGUUUGAUCAUGGCUCAGGAUGAACGCUAGCGGCAGGCUUAAUACAUGCAAGUCGAGGGGCAACAGGGGUAGCAAUACCUGCUGGCGACCGGCAAACGGGUGCGGAACACGUACAGAACCUUCCUUUAAGCGGGGGAUAGCCCAUAGAAAUGUGGAUUAAUACCCCAUAGUAAUAUUGACUGGCAUCAGUUGGUAUUUAAAGAUUUAUCACUUAAAGAUGGCUGUGCGGCUGAUUAGGUAGUUGGUUGAGGUAACGGCUCGCCAAGCCUGCGAUCAGUAACUGGUGUGAGAGCACGACCAGUCACACGGGCACUGAGACACGGGCCCGACUCCUACGGGAGGCAGCAGUAAGGAAUAUUGGUCAAUGGACGCAAGUCUGAACCAGCCAUGCCGCGUGAAGGAUGAAGGCCCUCUGGGUUGUAAACUUCUUUUAUCUGGGAAGAAAUCACUUCUUUAUAGAGGUGUUGACGGUACCAGAGGAAUAAGCACCGGCUAACUCCGUGCCAGCAGCCGCGGUAAUACGGAGGGUGCAAGCGUUAUCCGGAUUCACUGGGUUUAAAGGGUGCGUAGGUGGGCUUGUAAGUCAGUGGUGAAAUCUCCGUGCUUAACAUGGAAACUGCCAUUGAUACUAUAGGUCUUGAAUUUUCUGGAGGUAAGCGGAAUAUGUCUGUAGCGGUGAAAUGCUUAGAUAUGACAUAGAACACCAAUUGCGAAGGCAGCUUGCUACAGGGAUAUUGACACUGAGGCACGAAAGCGUGGGGAUCAAACAGGAUUAGAUACCCUAGUAGUCC